GCGGCCUUCACGCCGGCGCCGGCGCCCUGCGGAAGCGGCGUUAGUGAAUCGGGGCCUUGGGGAGCCCAGGAUGGAGGUGGCGGUCGCGGCGGCGGCGGCGGCGGGCCGAGCCCUGCGGCGGGCGGGAGAUGACGAAAUGGUGGCUGACGCGUACUGAGAAGUGGCUUCUGCGCUGUCCUCUGAAGGUCGUGCUCAGUGAUAUCUGUGUGAACAGAGGCACUGGGACAAGAGCCGGGUCUAGCCGUGUCCUCCACCCGGUCGCAGAGGGCCUUCUGAGCCCCCAUCCCUCCUUGGAGGCCUGUGGUCCCUUGAGCUUGGGUCCAGCCUUGUCAUGCCAGGGAGGUGGGAGGGAAUGAGGGGGUCUGAAAGACCGAAGCGUCGGCCACAGUGCUGUCUCCAAGCUCCUGGGUCAGGUUUUUCUGUGACCCCUUUUGCCCUUGUGGCUCAGGCCAGGAGACACUUGUGAUGGUCGAAGUUGCUUGGGCUCCUGCCUGGAGCCCCAAGGCUCUCGCCUCGGCCAUCCUGCACC
RNAcentral lists this long non-coding RNA (529 nucleotides) under Equus asinus (donkey). Its description in RNAcentral is "lncRNA (ENSEASG00005033294.1)". The record is from RNAcentral. Lineage: Eukaryota; Metazoa; Chordata; Mammalia; Perissodactyla; Equidae.